UGAUGUGAGGGAGAUCUGGCUAAGACAUCUGUCACCCCAUUGAUCUCCAGAGAUGAUCUGCUGCUCUGGCUGGCUAGGUGGGUGUCCCCUUCCUCCUGCACAGUUCCAUGCCUGUCCCUCUCAAAGCUUUGCCCUCAGCCAAAGAGGAUGGCUUUUCCCAAUAGCAGAUGGCUCUGUUGGAAGCUCCCAGUGAGCACAGCCCCGUAAGUCAGGGUCCCAUGUGAGGAUAGCACAGUC
Molecule: small RNA, 237 nt
Filed under: Mesocricetus auratus (golden hamster)
Lineage: Eukaryota; Metazoa; Chordata; Mammalia; Rodentia; Cricetidae
Description: 7SK RNA (ENSMAUG00000006552.1)
Rfam family: 7SK RNA (bases 1-185)
About the family: 7SK was discovered as an abundant small nuclear RNA in the mid-70s but a possible function has only recently been suggested. Two independent studies have found that 7SK RNA binds the CDK9/cyclin T complex (known as elongation factor P-TEFb). P-TEFb activates transcription by phosphorylating the C-terminal domain of RNA polymerase II.
Source: RNAcentral